AGUGAACGCUGGCGGUAGGCUUAACACAUGCAAGUCGAACGGUAACACCAUUUGAGCUUGCUCCUACGGGCGGAGAGUGGCGGAAUAGAGCGGAAUACGUCUGAAUCUACUUUUUCAUUGCGGAAAACGUAGGCAAAUUCACCAUAAUACCGAAUACUAACUACGGGUGAAAUCCGGGCCUUUUCGGACUAUGGGCGCUGAUGUGAGCUGAUGUCGGAUUAGCUAGUUGGCGGGGUAAAGGCGCACCAAGGCGACGAUCCGUAGCUGGUCUGAGAGGAUGACCAGCCACACUGGAACUGAGACACGGGCCAGACUCCUACGGGAGGCAGCAGUGGGGAAUAUUGGACAAUGGGCGCAAGCCUGAUCCAGCAAUGCCGCGUGGAUGAAGAAGGCCUUCGGGUUGUAAAGCGCUUUUGUUGGGAAAGAAAAGCAGCAUUUUAAUACCCCGGUGUUCUGACGGUACCCAAAGAAUAAGCACCGGCUAACUUCGUG
RNAcentral lists this ribosomal RNA (492 nucleotides) under uncultured bacterium. RNAcentral's name for it is "partial 16S ribosomal RNA". It matches the Rfam family "Bacterial small subunit ribosomal RNA", at positions 29 to 507 of the family's 1533-position model. The record is from RNAcentral.